RNAcentral lists this ribosomal RNA (479 nucleotides) under uncultured bacterium. RNAcentral describes it as "partial 16S ribosomal RNA". It matches the Rfam family "Bacterial small subunit ribosomal RNA", at positions 28 to 507 of the family's 1533-position model. The record is from RNAcentral.
GAUGAACGCUAGCGGGAGGCUUAACACAUGCAAGCCGAGGGGUAUAGUUCUUUCGGGAACUAGAGACCGGCGCACGGGUGCGUAACGCGUAUGCAACUUGCCCUACUGAAAAGGAUAGCCCUUCGAAAGGAGGAUUAAUACUUUAUAACAGAUUUAAUGGCAUCAUUAGAUUUUGAAAGAUUUAUCGCAGUAGGAUAGGCAUGCGUAAGAUUAGUUAGUUGGUGAGGUAACGGCUCACCAAGACGAUGAUCUUUAGGGGGCCUGAGAGGGUGAACCCCCACACUGGUACUGAGACACGGACCAGACUCCUACGGGAGGCAGCAGUGAGGAAUAUUGAACAAUGGGUGGAAGCCUGAUCCAGCCAUCCCGCGUGUAGGAUGACGGCCUUAUGGGUUGUAAACUACUUUUAUCUGGGGAUAAACCUACUUACGUGUAAGUAGCUGAAGGUACCAGAAGAAUAAGCACCGGCUAACUCCGUG